CUCAGGUGGACGGGGUGAAUAUCCCAAGGCGCGUGAGAGAACCCUGGUUAAGGAACUCGCAAAUUGACACCGUAACUUCGGGAGAAGGUGUGCCGCUGGCGGUUAGUGACUUCGCGUCACGAAGCUGUCGGUGGUCGCAGUGAAAUGGCGGUUGUGACUGUUUACUAAAAACACAGGACUCUGCGAAGUCGUAAGACGACGUAUAGGGUCUGAUGCCUGCCCGGUGCUGGAAGGUUAAGGGGAUAUGUCAGCGCAAGCGAAGCAUUGAACCGAAGCCCCAGUAAACGGCGGCCGUAACGAUAACGGUCCUAAGGUAGCGAAAUUCCUUGUCGGGUAAGUUCCGACCUGCACGAGGGCAUAACAACGUCCGCACUGUCUCGACCAGGGACUCAGCGAAAUUACAUUGGGGGUGAAGAUGCCCUCUACCCGCGGAAAGACGGAAAGACCCCAUGAACCUUUACUGCAACUUGGCAGUGAUUUUCGGGUUGUUCUGCGUAGGAUAGGUGGGAGGCUUUGAAGCCGGGCUUCCGGGUUCGGCAGAGCCAACGUUGAAAUACCACCCUGAAUAAUCUGGAAAUCUAACCUGCGCCCAUGAUCUGGGCGAGGGACACUGCCUGGUGGGCAGUUUGACUGGGGCGGUCGCCUCCUAAAUUGUAACGGAGGCGUGCGACGGUUCCCUCAGGCUGAUUGGAAACCAGCCGUAGAGUGCAAACGCAUAAGGGAGCUUUACUGCGAGACUGACAAGUCGAACAGUUGCGAAAGCAGGUGUUAGUGAUCCGGUGGUACCACAUGGAAGGGCCAUCGCUCAUCGGAUAAAAGGUACUCUGGGGAUAACAGGCUGAUCGCGCCUGAGAGUUCACAUCGGCGGCGCGGUUUGGCACCUCGAUGUCGGCUCAUCGCAUCCUGGGGCUGGAGCAGGUCCCAAGGGUUUGGCUGUUCGCCAAUUAAAGCGGUACGCGAGCUGGGUUUAAAACGUCGUGAGACAGUUUGGUCCCUAUCUUCCGUGGGCGCAGGACACUUGAGAGGAGCUAUCCAUAGUACGAGAGGACCUGGAUGGACGAACCUCUGGUGCUCCGGUUGUCACGCCAGUGGCAUAGCCGGGUAGCCAUGUUCGGAACAGAUAACCGCUGAAGGCAUAUAAGCGGGAAGCUGGCCUCAAGACUAGGUGUCCCUGACGCAAGUCACUAAAGGCCCCUCGAAGACUACGAGGUUGAUAGGCUCGGUGUGGAAGCGCUGCGAGGCGUGGAGCUAACGAGUACUAAUAGGCCGUGCGACUUGACCU
Molecule: ribosomal RNA, 1282 nt
Filed under: metagenome
Description: bacterial LSU rRNA
Rfam family: Bacterial large subunit ribosomal RNA
Source: RNAcentral